RNAcentral lists this unclassified non-coding RNA (343 nucleotides) under soil metagenome. RNAcentral describes it as "partial contains 5.8S ribosomal RNA, internal transcribed spacer 2, and large subunit ribosomal RNA". The stretch from base 1 to 120 matches the Rfam family "5.8S ribosomal RNA", at positions 35 to 154 of the family's 154-position model. The record is from RNAcentral.
GAUGAAGAACGUAGCGAAAUGCGAUAAGUAAUGUGAAUUGCAGAAUUCAGUGAAUCAUCGAAUCUUUGAACGCACAUUGCGCCCGCUAGUAUUCUGGCGGGCAUGCCUGUCCGAGCGUCAUUUCAACCCUCAAGCCCCCGGGCUUGGUGUUGGGGAUCGGCGAGCCUGCGCGCCCGCCGUCCCCUAAAUCUAGUGGCGGUCUCGCUGUAGCUUCCUCUGCGUAGUAGCACACCUCGCACUGGGAAACAGCGCGGCCACGCCGUUAAACCCCCAACUUCUGAACGUUUGACCUCGGAUCAGGUAGGAAUACCCGCUGAACUUAAGCAUAUCAAUAAGCGGAGGA